Taeniopygia guttata (zebra finch) is the source of this 449-nucleotide non-coding RNA. Lineage: Eukaryota; Metazoa; Chordata; Aves; Passeriformes; Estrildidae. The record is from RefSeq and is a predicted model, not a curated record.
GAGCCCUCCUUCACCUCCAGAAAGUGAGGAGAUGGCUGCUCCCUGCCAAGAAAGUGCAGCCAGGUUUCUGGCACACACUGAGCAGGCAAAGGGCUGCUGUCUGAAGUUGGUGAGGGUGAGGCUUCUUCAAGUGCAGCGUGGUGCCUCUAGUCAGUCAUCACUCGAAAAAGUCACAGAAGGGGAGAGGGGGGCAGCAGAUGAAAAGUUUGCAAGGAAAGCAGAAUAAUAUGCAAAAUCAGGAUGAAACAUGUUUCAGGUCUACAUUACAAUUCAAACAGAAAUGUAAGACAGCUGAAGACAUCAGAACAAAAAGCUUUGACAUGUGACACAGUUUAACAAAGAUCUGCUUAGCUAAAAAAAAUCCAAUUAAAACCUGAAUUGUCCUUCGGCUGUGCCUGGCAUGCUGCCAUUUCAGCAGUCCAGCGGGAAUGAAGUGGAAGAAGAGCAAA